RNAcentral lists this ribosomal RNA (492 nucleotides) under uncultured bacterium. Its description in RNAcentral is "partial 16S ribosomal RNA". It matches the Rfam family "Bacterial small subunit ribosomal RNA", at positions 29 to 507 of the family's 1533-position model. The record is from RNAcentral.
AGUGAACGCUGGCGGUAGGCCUAACACAUGCAAGUCGAACGGCAGCACAGUAAGAGCUUGCUCUUACGGGUGGCGAGUGGCGGACGGGUGAGGAAUACAUCGGCAUCUACUUUUUCGUGGGGGAUAACGUAGGGAAACUUACGCUAAUACCGCAUACGACCUACGGGUGAAAGCAGGAGAUCUUCGGACCUUGCGCGAUUGAAUGAGCCGAUGUCGGAUUAGCUAGUUGGCGGGGUAAAGGCCCACCAAGGCGACGAUCCGUAGCUGGUCUGAGAGGAUGAUCAGCCACACUGGAACUGAGACACGGUCCAGACUCCUACGGGAGGCAGCAGUGGGGAAUAUUGGACAAUGGGCGCAAGCCUGAUCCAGCCAUACCGCGUGAGUGAAGAAGGCCUUCGGGUUGUAAAGCCCUUUUGUUGGGAAAGAAAAGCAGCAGAUUAAUACCCCGCUGUUCUGACGGUACCCAAAGAGUAAGCCCCGGCUAACUUCGUG